Molecule: long non-coding RNA, 542 nt
Filed under: Gallus gallus (chicken)
Lineage: Eukaryota; Metazoa; Chordata; Aves; Galliformes; Phasianidae
Source: RNAcentral
CUUUUUUACAUGCUCAAAUACAGUUUGAAAACAUAUGUACAACGGAGAUUCUCUUACUCAAACAACUGCUUACAAGUAAACAUAUCACUUUUCUUCCUUUUGAUUAUUUUACUUUAUUUAUCUUAUUCUUUCUCACCAACUCUUUUUUUUUUGUUUUGUUUUCUUCUUUUUUUGGUGGAGCACUUCUGAAUUUUAACUCUGAAUCUUGUAACACAGUUCAUCUUUAAUUCUGGCUAUAAAGAGAGGCAUGUAAAUGCUGAACGCUUUUAAAUAUAAUACGUAGUAUCUCAGAACAAGAAUCCAAGGACAACUAGCAAUAGCAUGACAGAGCAAUAAGGCUGGGUCUCAACUUCCUAACAAACACUACUAGCAAUUUCAUGGACCAGAUAAACACAAUAUUAUAGUCGACUGUGUUUACUCAGUCAUUGACUCCAUAUGAAGUACUGCUAUUUUGGCAUUGGCUUUGCUAAGAACAAAGAUAUUAUGGAAAACCUGACUACAAAAAGAAUCAUCUGACCAAGUUUCAUCAUCAUCAAAAUGGG